Molecule: ribosomal RNA, 488 nt
Filed under: uncultured Rhodoferax sp.
Lineage: Bacteria; Pseudomonadati; Pseudomonadota; Betaproteobacteria; Burkholderiales; Comamonadaceae
Description: bacterial SSU rRNA
Rfam family: Bacterial small subunit ribosomal RNA
Source: RNAcentral
AGAGUUUGAUCAUGGCUCAGAUUGAACGCUGGCGGCAUGCCUUACACAUGCAAGUCGAACGGCAGCACGGGAGCAAUCCUGGUGGCGAGUGGCGAACGGGUGAGUAAUAUAUCGGAACGUGCCCAGUCGUGGGGGAUAACGUAGCGAAAGCUACGCUAAUACCGCAUACGAUCUACGGAUGAAAGCGGGGGACCUGUAAGGGCCUCGCGCGAUUGGAGCGGCCGAUAUCAGAUUAGGUUGUUGGUGAGGUAAAAGCUCACCAAGCCUGCGAUCUGUAGCUGGUCUGAGAGGACGACCAGCCACACUGGAACUGAGACACGGUCCAGACUCCUACGGGAGGCAGCAGUGGGGAAUUUUGGACAAUGGACGCAAGUCUGAUCCAGCAAUGCCGCGUGCAGGACGAAGGCCUUCGGGUUGUAAACUGCUUUUGUACGGAACGAAACGGUCUUCUUUAAUACAGAGGGCUAAUGACGGUACCGUAAGAAUAG